Ficedula albicollis (Collared flycatcher) is the source of this 1083-nucleotide long non-coding RNA. Lineage: Eukaryota; Metazoa; Chordata; Aves; Passeriformes; Muscicapidae. The record is from Ensembl.
AUGUUUUUCUUAGGGGUCUUGCAACCAGCAGGAGGAGCAGCAGAAAAGGAAGACACUGAUUCUUCCCUGGAUUCUGAGACUGAUCCUAAAAGUCAAGGGAGAGUGUGGACCAGUGUGUGGCUUCCUGCUGCAAAAGGCAACAGGUUGGAUGCGCGCUCUGCCAAAGUGGAAUGUGGCAAAGGUGUCUCGUCAGCAGCAUCAGUAGAAGCAGAAAAGGAAGAUGGUGAUCUCUCUUGGGGUUCUGAGGCUUUUUCUGAUAUUGUAAAGAAAGUGUUAGGUGGCAAGCGGCGUCCUGCUGCAAAACGCAAACCAGUGGGUGUGCGCUCUACUGCAGUGGAAUGUGGCAAAGGGGUCUUGAAACAAGCAUGUAGAGAAGGGAUGAAGGAAGAUGGAGUCUUGCAGCCAGCAGGGGGAGAAGCAAAAGACGAAGACAACGAUUCUCCCUGGGAUUCUGAGACUGAUUCUGAAGGUGAAGGGAAAAUGUCAGCUGCUGUCCAGCUUCCCACUGCAAACAGCAACAGUGAAGUGUCAGCUGCUGUCCAGCCUCCUGCUGCAAAGAGCAACAAGUUGUAUGCUGGCUCUGCUGCAGUGGAAUGUGGCAAAGGGGUCUUGAAACAAGCAUGUAGAGAAGAGAUGAAGGAAGAUGGAGUCUUGCAGCCAGCAGGGGGAGAAGCAAAAGAUGAAGACAACGAUUCUCCCUGGGAUUCUGAGACUGAUUCUGAAGGUGAAGGGAAAAUGUCAGCUGCUGUCCAGCUUCCCACUGCAAACAGCAACAGGUUGUAUGUUGGCUCUGCUGCCGUGGAAUGUGGCAAAGGGGUCUUGAAACAAGCAUAUAGAGAAGGGAUGAAGGAAGAUGGAGUCAUGCAGUCAGCAGGGGGAACAGCAAAAGACGAAGACAACGAUUCUCCCUGGGAUCCUGAGGUACUUUCUCUGAGGCAGGCACUGGGGGUCCCUCUGAUUCACCUGCUUCAUUUUCCUUUGCUGCUGCUUCUGUCACACGUUCAUAACUUGGACCUUGACAGGCUGCUGCUUUAUCAGACAAGCUGUCUGAUUUGGGACAGGGACAAAGUGAGGUCCAGCUAG